UUGCACUAUGCAUCGAAGGCUAUGUCGAUUACUGUGGCAUAGUCUUUUAGCAAAAAAGUGCAGAAAUAGAGAGCUGUUAAAUCAGCAAGCGGCCAGACAACCGUCGGAAUAGAUCCACAGGUGAAGCAGAGUUUUUCAUCUGCUUUCAGCUACUAAAUCUAUCUUACAAGU
This 171-nucleotide small nucleolar RNA is filed under the name Capsella rubella. Its description in RNAcentral is "small nucleolar RNA snoR143". It matches the Rfam family "small nucleolar RNA snoR143". Lineage: Eukaryota; Viridiplantae; Streptophyta; Magnoliopsida; Brassicales; Brassicaceae. The record is from Rfam by way of RNAcentral.